AUGAAACUCGUAAGUUGGAACUUCCGGGGACUCGGGAACGGCCCGGCAGUUCAAUCUCUUCUCGAGCUGGGAAGAAUGGAGGAGCCGAACAUUUUAUUUCUAUGUGAGACUAGAAUGAAGGAGAAGGAUUUGGGAAGGUUUAGGUGGUCGUUGGGGCUCGCCAGCAUGGUCGUGUUGAAGGGGGAAGGGAGUGGAAGAGGGGUGGCGUUGUUCUGGAGGAAGGGAGUCGAUGUCACUCUAUGA
This 243-nucleotide ribosomal RNA is filed under the name Triticum aestivum (bread wheat). RNAcentral describes it as "partial small subunit ribosomal RNA". Lineage: Eukaryota; Viridiplantae; Streptophyta; Magnoliopsida; Poales; Poaceae. The record is from RNAcentral.